GGUCCGUUAGCUCAGUCGGCAGAGCGUGGUGCUAAUAACGCUAAGGUCAUGGGUUCGAGCCCUAUACGGACCA
This 73-nucleotide transfer RNA is filed under the name Nematostella vectensis (starlet sea anemone). It matches the Rfam family "tRNA". Rfam says of the family: Transfer RNA (tRNA) molecules are approximately 80 nucleotides in length. Their secondary structure includes four short double-helical elements and three loops (D, anti-codon, and T loops). Lineage: Eukaryota; Metazoa; Cnidaria; Anthozoa; Actiniaria; Edwardsiidae. The record is from Rfam by way of RNAcentral.